UGCUGGAAUGCUUUAUGCGUCAAAUGGAUUCGUCUGCCCAAGGAUGGGUCUGCGGCCUAUCAGGUAGUAGUGGGUGUAAUGUACCUACUAGCCAACGACGGGUACGGGUUGUGAGAGCAAGAGCCCGGAGAUGGAUUCUGAGACAUGAAUCCAGGCCCUACGGGGCGCAGCAGGCGCGAAAACUUUACAAUGCGGGAAACCGUGAUAAGGGGACACCGAGUGCCAGCAUCAUAUGCUGGCUGUCCAGGUGUUUAAACUACACCUGUUAGCAAGGGCCGGGCAAGACCGGUGCCAGCCGCCGCGGUAACACCGGCGGCCCGAGUGGUGAUCGUGAUUAUUGGGUCUAAAGGGUCCGUAGCCGGUUUGGUCAGUCCUCCGGGAAAUCUGAUAGCUUAACUAUUAGGCUUUCGGGGGAUACUGCCAGGCUUGGAACCGGGAGAGGUAAGAGGUACUACAGGGGUAGGAGUGAAAUCUUGUAAUCCCUGUGGGACCACCUGUGGCGAAGGCGUCUUACCAGAACGGGUUCGACGGUGAGGGACGAAAGCUGGGGGCACGAACCGGAUUAGAUACCCGGGUAGUCCCAGCCGUAAACGAUGCUCGCUAGGUGUCAGGCAUGGCGCGACCGUGUCUGGUGCC
Molecule: ribosomal RNA, 636 nt
Filed under: uncultured Methanosarcinales archaeon
Lineage: Archaea; Methanobacteriati; Methanobacteriota; Methanomicrobia; Methanosarcinales
Description: bacterial SSU rRNA
Rfam family: Archaeal small subunit ribosomal RNA
Source: RNAcentral